Molecule: ribosomal RNA, 812 nt
Filed under: Alteromonas sp. MMRF724
Lineage: Bacteria; Pseudomonadati; Pseudomonadota; Gammaproteobacteria; Alteromonadales; Alteromonadaceae
Description: bacterial SSU rRNA
Rfam family: Bacterial small subunit ribosomal RNA
Source: RNAcentral
AGGCCCAAGUGAGAUUAGCUAGUUGGUGAGGUAAGAGCUCACCAAGGCGACGAUCUCUAGCUGUUCUGAGAGGAAGAUCAGCCACACUGGGACUGAGACACGGCCCAGACUCCUACGGGAGGCAGCAGUGGGGAAUAUUGCACAAUGGGGGAAACCCUGAUGCAGCCAUGCCGCGUGUGUGAAGAAGGCCUUCGGGUUGUAAAGCACUUUCAGUUGUGAGGAAAAGUUAGUAGUUAAUACCUGCUAGCCGUGACGUUAACAACAGAAGAAGCACCGGCUAACUCCGUGCCAGCAGCCGCGGUAAUACGGAGGGUGCGAGCGUUAAUCGGAAUUACUGGGCGUAAAGCGCACGCAGGCGGUUUGUUAAGCUAGAUGUGAAAGCCCCGAGCUCAACUUGGGAUGGUCAUUUAGAACUGGCAGACUAGAGUCUUGGAGAGGGGAGUGGAAUUCCAGGUGUAGCGGUGAAAUGCGUAGAUAUCUGGAGGAACAUCAGUGGCGAAGGCGACUCCCUGGCCAAAGACUGACGCUCAUGUGCGAAAGUGUGGGUAGCGAACAGGAUUAGAUACCCUGGUAGUCCACACCGUAAACGCUGUCUACUAGCUGUGUGUGCCUUUAAGGCUGUGCGUAGCGAAGCUAACGCGAUAAGUAGACCGCCUGGGGAGUACGGCCGCAAGGUUAAAACUCAAAUGAAUUGACGGGGGCCCGCACAAGCGGUGGAGCAUGUGGUUUAAUUCGAUGCAACGCGAAGAACCUUACCUACACUUGACAUGCAGAGAACUUUCCAGAGAUGGAUUGGUGCCUUCGGGAACUCU